CCUACGGGAGGCAGCAGUAGGGAAUAUUGGGCAAUGGGCGAAAGCCUGACCCAGCCAUGCCGCGUGCAGGACGAAGGCCCUCUGGGUCGUAAACUGCUUUUGACGGGGAAGAAAAGGGCUAUGCGUAGCACAUUGACGGUACCCGCAGAAUAAGCCACGGCUAACUACGUGCCAGCAGCCGCGGUAAUACGUAGGUGGCAAGCGUUGUCCGGAUUUAUUGGGUUUAAAGGGUGCGUAGGCGGCUUGAUAAGUCAGCGGUAAAAGGUAGCAGCUUAACUGUUUUACUUGCCGUUGAUACUGUCGAGCUUGAAUGUACGGGAGGCAGAUAGAACUCCUGAUGUAGCGGUGAAAUGCAUAGAUAUCAGGAAGAAUACCGAUUGCGAAGGCAGUCUGCUGUAGUACGAUUGACGCUGAGGCACGAAAGCAUGGGGAUCAAACAGGAUUAGAUACCCUGGUAGUCCAUGCCGUAAACGAUGAUUACUAGCUGUUAGUUUAAUUAUUAGUGGCUAAGGGAAACCGAUAAGUAAUCCACCUGGGGAGUACGCCGGCAACGGUGAAACUCAAAGGAAUUGACGG
RNAcentral lists this ribosomal RNA (576 nucleotides) under uncultured bacterium. RNAcentral's name for it is "bacterial SSU rRNA". It matches the Rfam family "Bacterial small subunit ribosomal RNA", at positions 338 to 916 of the family's 1533-position model. The record is from RNAcentral.